GUCGAGAAUCUUUCACAAUGGGGGCAACCCUGAUGGAGCGACGCCGCGUGGAGGAUAAGGUCUUCGGAUUGUAAACACCUGUCAUGCGUGAACAAGGUUGCUUGGUUAAUACCUGGGCAAAUUGAUGGUAACGCAAGAGGAAGAGACGGCUAACUCUGUGCCAGCAGCCGCGGUAAUACAGAGGUCUCAAGCGUUGUUCGGAAUCACUGGGCGUAAAGGGUGCGUAGGUGGCGUGGUAAGUCAGAUGUGAAAGCCCGGGGCUCAACCUCGGAACUGCAUCCGAUACUGCCAUGCUAGAGUACUGGAGAGGUGACUAGAAUUCUCGGUGUAGCAGUGAAAUGCGUAGAUAUCGAGAGGAAUACCAAAGGCGUAGGCAGGUCACUGGACAGUUACUGACACUGAGGCACGAAGGCCAGGGGAGCGAACGGGAUUAGAAACCCGGGUAGUCC
Molecule: ribosomal RNA, 449 nt
Filed under: uncultured bacterium
Lineage: Bacteria
Description: partial 16S ribosomal RNA
Rfam family: Bacterial small subunit ribosomal RNA
Source: RNAcentral